AUUGAACGCUGGCGGCAGGCCUAACACAUGCAAGUCGAACGAGUGGCGGACGGGUGAGUCAUGUCUGGGAAACUGCCUGAUGGAGGGGGAUAACUACUGGAAACGGUAGUUAAUACCGCAUACCAUCAGAUGUGCCCAGAUGGGAUUAGCUAGUUGGUGGGGUAACGGCUCACCAAGGCGACGAUCCCUAGCUGGUCUGAGAGGAUGACCAGCCACACUGGAACUGAGACACGGUCCAGACUCCUACGGGAGGCAGCAGUGGGGAAUAUUGCGCAAUGGGCGCAAGCCUGAUGCAGCAAUGCCGCGUGUAUGAAGAAGGCCUUCGGGUUGUAAAGUACUUUCAGCAGGGAGGCGUUACCCACAGAAGAAGCACCGGCUAACUCCGUGCCAGCAGCCGCGGUAAUUC
Molecule: ribosomal RNA, 406 nt
Filed under: uncultured bacterium
Lineage: Bacteria
Description: partial 16S ribosomal RNA
Rfam family: Bacterial small subunit ribosomal RNA
Source: RNAcentral